Lynx canadensis (Canada lynx) is the source of this 115-nucleotide small nuclear RNA. Its record names the gene U5. It matches the Rfam family "U5 spliceosomal RNA". From Rfam's summary of the family: U5 RNA is a component of both types of known spliceosome. The precise function of this molecule is unknown, though it is known that the 5' loop is required for splice site selection and p220 binding, and that both the 3' stem-loop and the Sm site are important for Sm protein binding and cap methylation. NCBI's taxonomy places the organism in Eukaryota, Metazoa, Chordata, Mammalia, Carnivora, Felidae. The record is from Ensembl.
CGCUCUGGUUUCUCUUCAGAUAGCAUAAAUCUUUUGCCAUUUGCUAAAGAUUUCUGUGGAGAGGUAAAGAUUGAAAGGUGAUCAAAUGCUGCGAAAUUGCCACAUAGGGGCGCCU